Non-coding RNA from Schistosoma margrebowiei, 78 nucleotides. NCBI's taxonomy places the organism in Eukaryota, Metazoa, Platyhelminthes, Trematoda, Strigeidida, Schistosomatidae. The record is from Rfam.
AGCCUUCUGUAUCUGUGCUGCGAUUUCGUAACACACCAGAGCACAAGGACUGAUCAGAUACCCAAGGUAGGUGAAGUG